CCAUGCAAGUAGAACGCUGAAGAGAGGAGCUUGCUCUUCUUGGAUGAGUUGCGAACGGGUGAGUAACGCGUAGGUAACCUGCCUUGUAGCGGGGGAUAACUAUUGGAAACGAUAGCUAAUACCGCAUAACAAUGGAUGACACAUGUCAUUUAUUUGAAAGGGGCAAUUGCUCCACUACAAGAUGGACCUGCGUUGUAUUAGCUAGUAGGUGAGGUAAUGGCUCACCUAGGCGACGAUACAUAGCCGACCUGAGAGGGUGAUCGGCCACACUGGGACUGAGACACGGCCCAGACUCCUACGGGAGGCAGCAGUAGGGAAUCUUCGGCAAUGGGGGCAACCCUGACCGAGCAACGCCGCGUGAGUGAAGAAGGUUUUCGGAUCGUAAAGCUCUGUUGUAAGUCAAGAACGGGUGUGAGAGUGGAAAGUUCACACUGUGACGGUAGCUUACCAGAAAGGGACGGCUAACUACGUGCCAGCAGCCGCGGUAAUACGUAGGUCCCGAGCGUUGUCCGGAUUUAUUGGGCGUAAAGCGAGCGCAGGCGGUUUGAUAAGUCUGAAGUUAAAGGCUGUGGCUCAACCAUAGUUCGCUUUGGAAACUGUCAAACUUGAGUGCAGAAGGGGAGAGUGGAAUUCCAUGUGUAGCGGUGAAAUGCGUAGAUAUAUGGAGGAACACCGGUGGCGAAAGCGGCUCUCUGGUCUGUAACUGACGCUGAGGCUCGAAAGCGUGGGGAGCGAACAGGAUUAGAUACCCUGGUAGUCCACGCCGUAAACGAUGAGUGCUAGGUGUUGGAUCCUUUCCGGGAUUCAGUGCCGCAGCUAACGCAUUAAGCACUCCGCCUGGGGAGUACGACCGCAAGGUUGAAACUCAAAGGAAUUGACGGGGGCCCGCACAAGCGGUGGAGCAUGUGGUUUAAUUCGAAGCAACGCGAAGAACCUUACCAGGUCUUGACAUCCCGAUGCUAUUUCUAGAGAUAGAAAGUUACUUCGGUACAUCGGUGACAGGUGGUGCAUGGUUGUCGUCAGCUCGUGUCGUGAGAUGUUGGGUUAAGUCCCGCAACGAGCGCAACCCCUAUUGUUAGUUGCCAUCAUUCAGUUGGGCACUCUAGCGAGACUGCCGGUAAUAAACCGGAGGAAGGUGGGGAUGACGUCAAAUCAUCAUGCCCCUUAUGACCUGGGCUACACACGUGCUACAAUGGUUGGUACAACGAGUUGCGAGUCGGUGACGGCGAGCUAAUCUCUUAAAGCCAAUCUCAGUUCGGAUUGUAGGCUGCAACUCGCCUACAUGAAGUCGGAAUCGCUAGUAAUCGCGGAUCAGCACGCCGCGGUGAAUACGUUCCCGGGCCUUGUACACACCGCCCGUCACACCACGAGAGUUUGUAACACCCGAAGUCGGUGAGGUAACCUUUUGGAGCCAGCCGCC
RNAcentral lists this ribosomal RNA (1420 nucleotides) under Streptococcus sp. enrichment culture clone Y2-1. Its description in RNAcentral is "bacterial SSU rRNA". It matches the Rfam family "Bacterial small subunit ribosomal RNA". Lineage: Bacteria; Bacillati; Bacillota; Bacilli; Lactobacillales; Streptococcaceae. The record is from RNAcentral.